RNAcentral lists this ribosomal RNA (1015 nucleotides) under Corynebacterium sp. HMSC061H03. RNAcentral's name for it is "bacterial LSU rRNA". It matches the Rfam family "Bacterial large subunit ribosomal RNA", at positions 1896 to 2925 of the family's 2925-position model. RNAcentral also lists the same sequence under 1 other name. Lineage: Bacteria; Bacillati; Actinomycetota; Actinomycetes; Mycobacteriales; Corynebacteriaceae. The record is from RNAcentral.
GGGUCGAAGCGGAGAAUUUAAGCCCCAGUAAACGGCGGUGGUAACUAUAACCAUCCUAAGGUAGCGAAAUUCCUUGUCGGGUAAGUUCCGACCUGCACGAAUGGCGUAACGACUUCCCUGCUGUCUCAACCACAGACCCGGCGAAAUUGCAGUACGAGUAAAGAUGCUCGUUACGCGCGGCAGGACGAAAAGACCCCGGGACCUUCACUAUAGCUUGGUAUUGGUGUUCGGUUCGGUUUGUGUAGGAUAGGUGGGAGACUGUGAUGCCUCAACGCCAGUUGGGGUGGAGUCGUUGUUGAAAUACCACUCUGAUCGUAUUGGACAUCUCAACCUCGGCCCGUGAUCCGGGUUAGGGACAGUGCCUGGUGGGUAGUUUAACUGGGGCGGUUGCCUCCCAAAGAGUAACGGAGGCGCCCAAAGGUUCCCUCAGCCUGGUUGGCAAUCAGGUGUUGAGUGUAAGUGCACAAGGGAGCUUGACUGUGAGACUGACAGGUCGAGCAGGUAGGAAACUAGGGACUAGUGAUCCGGCACCGGCUUGUGGAAGCGGUGUCGCUCAACGGAUAAAAGGUACCCCGGGGAUAACAGGCUGAUCUUCCCCAAGAGUCCAUAUCGACGGGAUGGUUUGGCACCUCGAUGUCGGCUCGUCGCAUCCUGGGGCUGGAGUAGGUCCCAAGGGUUGGGCUGUUCGCCCAUUAAAGCGGCACGCGAGCUGGGUUUAGAACGUCGUGAGACAGUUCGGUCUCUAUCCGCCGCGCGCGUAGAAACUUGAGGAAGGCUGUCCCUAGUACGAGAGGACCGGGAUGGACGUACCUCUGGUGUGCCAGUUGUCCCGCCUGGGGCAUGGCUGGUUGGCUACGUACGGAAGGGAUAACCGCUGAAAGCAUCUAAGCGGGAAGCCUGUUCCAAGAUUAGGUUUCUUUUGAGGUCCCCUAUAGAUGAUGGGGUUGAUAGGCCGGAUCUGGAAGCAUCGUAAGGUGUGGAGGUGACCGGUACUAAUAGACCAAACAUUCAACAC